AGUGAACGCUGGCGGUAGGCCUAACACAUGCAAGUCGAACGGCAGCACAGUAAGAGCUUGCUCUUACGGGUGGCGAGUGGCGGACGGGAGAGGAAUACAUCGGAAUCUACUUUUUCGUGGGGGAUAACGUAACGAAACUUACGCUAAUACCGCAUACCACCUACCGGUGAAAGCAGGGGAUCUUCUGACCUUGCGCGGUUGAACUAGCCGAUGUGGGAUUAGCUAGUUGGCGGGGUGAAGGCCCACCAAGGCGACGAUCCGUAGCUGGUCUGGGAGGAUGGUAGGCGACACGGGAACGGAGACACGGUCCAGAGUCCUACGGGAGGGAGCAGUGUGGAAUAGUGGACAAUGGGCGGAAGCCUGACACAGCCAUACCGCGUGGGAGACGAAGGCGUUCGGGGUGUAAAGCCCGUUUGUGGGGAAAGAACAGCAUCAGCUUAAGACGCAGCUGUAGUGACGGUACUCAAAGAAUAAGCACCGGCUAACUUCGUG
RNAcentral lists this ribosomal RNA (492 nucleotides) under uncultured bacterium. Its description in RNAcentral is "partial 16S ribosomal RNA". It matches the Rfam family "Bacterial small subunit ribosomal RNA", at positions 29 to 507 of the family's 1533-position model. The record is from RNAcentral.